GACGCACGCUGGCGGCGUGCCUAAUACAUGCAAGUCGAACGCAGUGGGGACGGGUGAGUAACACGUGGGUAACCUCCCCUCAGAGGGGAUAACACUUUGAAACAGGUGCUAAACCGAUACUGAUGGAUGGACCCGCGGUGCAUUAGCUAGUUGGUGAGGUAACGGCUCACCAAGGCACCGAUGCAAGGCCGACCUGAGAGGGUGAUCGGCAAUGCUGGGCCGGAGACACGUCCGAGACUCCUGCGGGCGGCAGCAGUAGGGAAUCUUCGGCAAUGGACUAAAGUCUGACCGAGCAACGCCGCGUGAUGGAAGAAGGUUGUCGGAUCGUAAAACUCUGUUGUUAGAGUAGCGGUAUCUAACCAGAAAGCCACGGCUAACUAAGUGCCAGCAGCCGCGGUAAUAC
Molecule: ribosomal RNA, 403 nt
Filed under: uncultured bacterium
Lineage: Bacteria
Description: partial 16S ribosomal RNA
Rfam family: Bacterial small subunit ribosomal RNA
Source: RNAcentral